Molecule: unclassified non-coding RNA, 927 nt
Filed under: Hevea brasiliensis (rubber tree)
Lineage: Eukaryota; Viridiplantae; Streptophyta; Magnoliopsida; Malpighiales; Euphorbiaceae
Source: RNAcentral
AAUGCAGAGCUAAUGGAAGUUAGCAGAACUGAGUUCAUGACUCCCUCUGCAUUUAUCUUUCUCUACGAGAACCAGUUGUUCUUAACUUUCAGAAAUAGAACUGUUGCAGUAUGGAAUUUUCGUGGGGAGCUUGUAACUUCAUUUGAGGAUCACCUGUUAUGGCAUCCUGACUGUAACACAAAUAACAUAUAUAUAACAAGUGAUCAGGAUCUUAUUAUUUCUUACUGCAAAGCUGAAUCUGAGGACCAGUGGAUGGAAGGAAAUGCUGGUUCUAUCAAUGUCAGCAACAUCUUGACAGGUAAGUGCUUGGCCAAAAUAAACGCAAGCAAUGGCAAUCCGAAACGUGAUGAGUGCAGUGGCAGUAGCUCUAAGCGCAGUCAUUCACCUAUCAGAAGUACAGUUGCAGAGGCUUUGGAAGACAUAACUGCACUUUUCUAUGACGAAGAGCGGAAUGAGAUCUACACUGGUAAUAGGCAUGGUUUGGUUCAUGUGUGGUCCAACUGAAGUUAAUAGCAUGUUCCAUUGUCAUCAAUAGAUGAAUAUGCUACUUAAGGAUAUUCUGUCAUGCCUGCAAUGAGAUCUACACAGUUAAUAAUCUGGAUCACGAUUCGUAAAUUCAAGAGCAGGUUUCAUCAUUUCAAUCUAGUUGCUAUGAUUUCCCCUACCAGAGGAUGUUGGGUCGUGCCUGCACGCUACUUCAGCAGAUUGGAUGACUUAAGCACACUUUCUUGUUUAAUUGCAUCAGAGUGAAUUGUAUCAUUAGAUAUUUUUAGCUUCUUGUGUAGCUAUUUGUAGAUCUACUUUUGGGAGUUCUUUAGGAUGUCUGAUUGAGAUGCAAAAGAAGGCUUAAAUUUGUUGACUUGUUAAGAUUUUUCAAGACUACGCAACAUUAAUUGAUAUUCUUUUGUAUCUCAAUCAGACAUCCUA